GAGGCAUUGGGUCCAGAGAGACAGACAGAGAGUGAGACAGUAGAGAGUGAGACGGAGAGACAGACAGAUUAAGGGGAUGACGGAGGCAUUGGGUCCAGAGAGACAGACGGAGAGACAGACAGAUUAAGUGGAUGACGGAGGCAUUGGGUCCAGAGAGACAGACAGAUUAAGGGGAUGACGGAGGCAUUGGGUCCAGAGAGACAGACAGAUUAAGGGGAUGACGGAGGCAUUGGGUCCAGAGAGACAGACAGAUUAAGGGGAUGACUGAGGCAUUGGGUCCAGAGAGUGAGACAGUAGAGAGUGAGACGGAGAGACAGACAGAUUAAGGGGAUGACGGAGGCAUUGGGUCCAGAGAGACAGACAGAUUAAGUGGAUGACGGAGGCAUUGGGUCCAGAGAGACAGACAGAUUAAGUGGAUGACGGAGGCAUUGGGUCCAGAGAGACAGACAGAUUAAGUGGAUGACGGAGGCAUUGGGUCCAGAGAGACAGACAGUGAGACAGUAGAGAGUGAGACGGAGAGACAGACAGAUUAAGGGGAUGACGGAGGCAUUGGGUCCAGAGAGACAGACAGUGAGACAGUAGAGAGUGAGACGGAGAGACAGACAGAUUAAGGGGAUGACGGAGGCAUUGGGUCCAGAGAGACAGACAGAUUAAGGGGAUGACGGAGGCAUUGGGUCCAGAGAGACAGACAGAUUAAGGGGAUGACGGAGGCAUUGGGUCCAGAGAGACAGACAGAUUAAGGGGAUGACGGAGGCAUUGGGUCCAGAGAGACAGACGGAGAGACAGACAGAUUAAGGGGAUGACGGAGGCAUUGGGUCCAGAGAGACAGACGGAGAGACAGACAGAUUAAGGGGAUGACGGAGGCAUUGGGUCCAGAGAGAAAGCACGAGAGCGAGAGAAUGAAAGAUUGAGAGGGCAAGAGAAAGAAACCAAGCCUUGGAUGAGAGGCAGAAGCAUCCAUGGCAGAUUUCUCUCUUUGUCAUGAGGCAUUUCCCCUAUUCCUCCCAGGACCAUUACUCACUGACAGGCCUCUUUUGUGUUCCUCUGUGGCCUUCUCUGUGGUAAUGACGUGUGGCACAUACGCUGGCUCUGUGAACAGAGACAGUAAGAGUGUGUGUGUGUGUGUUUUUGGUUUUACUGUCCUUGUGGGGUCCAGAAGUCCUUACAAGAAUAAUAAAACAAGGACAAUUCUGGCAAGAGGGGACAUUUCACUGGUCCCC
Molecule: long non-coding RNA, 1220 nt
Organism: Oncorhynchus tshawytscha (Chinook salmon)
Lineage: Eukaryota; Metazoa; Chordata; Actinopteri; Salmoniformes; Salmonidae
Source: Ensembl